CAAUAGCGUAUAUUAAAGUUGUUGCAGUUAAAAAGCUCGUAGUUGGAUUUCGGGGCGGCCUGGCUGGUCCGUCGCGAGGCGAGCACUGGUCAGCCGCCCUUCCUCUCGAAAGCCCCGACUGCUCUUCACUGCAGUGGUCGGGUAGUUCGGGACGUUUACUUUGAAAAAAUUAGAGUGUUCAAGGCAGGCUCUCGCCUGAAUACAUUAGCAUGGAAUAAUGGAAGAGGACCUCGGUCCUAUUUUGUUGGUUUCUGGGACCGAAGUAAUGAUUAAGAGGGACAGUUGGGGGCAUUCGUAUUUAAUUGUCAGAGGUGAAAUUCUCGGAUUUAUGAAAGACGAACAACUGCGAAAGCAUUUGCCAAGGAUGUUUUCAUUAA
RNAcentral lists this ribosomal RNA (377 nucleotides) under uncultured eukaryote. RNAcentral describes it as "partial 18S ribosomal RNA". It matches the Rfam family "Eukaryotic small subunit ribosomal RNA", at positions 592 to 976 of the family's 1831-position model. The record is from RNAcentral.